RNAcentral lists this non-coding RNA (180 nucleotides) under Candidatus Sumerlaeaceae bacterium. Its description in RNAcentral is "6S RNA". It matches the Rfam family "6S / SsrS RNA". Rfam says of the family: E. coli 6S RNA was the first non coding RNA to be sequenced, but its function was unknown until recently. It consists of 184 nucleotides that fold into an extended hairpin structure with a large single-stranded internal bulge. Lineage: Bacteria; Candidatus Sumerlaeota; Candidatus Sumerlaeia; Candidatus Sumerlaeales; Candidatus Sumerlaeaceae. The record is from RNAcentral.
AAGCCUCUGCCAAGUUGGUACGGUUUGUAGCGUUCUUGAGCCAAUAUUUAAAACUUAUGGGAGCUCAAAUACUCUCCGUAGAGCAUACGCCCCCUCGGGGGAUUUGCGAAGCGGAAAUGCGGGCACCCACUUGAACCUCAGGUUCAAACAGCUCCUACCGUACGGCCGCGUGGAGGCUUG